Molecule: ribosomal RNA, 253 nt
Filed under: uncultured bacterium
Lineage: Bacteria
Description: partial 16S ribosomal RNA
Rfam family: Bacterial small subunit ribosomal RNA
Source: RNAcentral
UACGUAGGGCGCAAGCGUUGUCCGGAAUUAUUGGGCGUAAAGAGCUCGUAGGCGGUUUGUCGCGUCUGCUGUGAAAACCUGAGGCUCAACCUCGGGCUUGCAGUGGGUACGGGCAGACUAGAGUGCGGUAGGGGUGACUGGAAUUCCUGGUGUAGCGGUGGAAUGCGCAGAUAUCAGGAGGAACACCGAUGGCGAAGGCAGGUCACUGGGACGGUAUUGACGCUGAGACGCGAAAGCGUGGGGAGCAAACAGG